Molecule: ribosomal RNA, 301 nt
Filed under: uncultured bacterium
Lineage: Bacteria
Description: partial 16S ribosomal RNA
Rfam family: Bacterial small subunit ribosomal RNA
Source: RNAcentral
CAGCAGCCACGGUAAUACGUAGGGUGCGAGCGUUAAUCGGAUUUACUGGGCGUAAAGCGUGCGCAGGCGGCCCGUUAAGACAGGUGUGAAAUCCCUGGGCUCAACCUAGGAACUGCGCUUGUGACUGGCGGGCUCGAGUACGGUAGAGGGGGGGUGGAAUUCCUGGUGUAGCAGUGAAAUGCGUAGAGAUCAGGGGGAACACCGAUGGCGAAGGCGGCCCCCUGGGCCUGUACUGACGCUCAUGCACGAAAGCGUGGGGAGCAAACAGGAUUAGAUACCCCGGUAGUCCCUGUCUCUUAUU